AAGAUGGCGGAGUCACUGAGCUUCAUUCACUUUGGUGCAGCGACCAAAAGCCCGCUCGCCAAAUCUAGAGAACCGAAACUAGCGUCGGACACCCGGCCGCAGUCUUCCCGGGACAUUCACCCGCCGCCGCCCAAGCGAGUCCGAAACGAUGAGAAGAGCCUUAAACCUAAUAAACUAAAUGGGGAAGGAGGUGGCGGCGCAGUGGAGAAGCAGCACCAGAAGCAGAGUUCAGGCAACCCGAUAACAUGGACCUUCAGCCCCGUCAAGGCGAGCAGCAACCCCUCGGCGCCCCUCCAGCCUCCCAUUCACACAGUGUUCAAGCAGAGCGCUUUCCUCGCCUCCCAUACCAAACCACCAUCCAAAAGCCCAAGGAAAAACGAGAGAAAGAGAAGGAUUUCAAGGAAAAGAAGAAACAUAAACCAGUCCCUGGUACUCCUGGAAAUAUUAGCAGCAGUCUGAGUAACGUCACUACUGUAAUGAAGAAGGAGAACGGGGAGAUGAAGUUGGUACAAAAAGACCACACCAGUAAGGACAAGACGAAGAAGAAGAAGAAACACAAAGUGAUGAAUGAGAUCAAGAGGGAGAACGGAGAGGUGAAGCUCCUUCAGAAAGCCCACUGUGAGCCAGCCUUAGCUAUUCAUAUCUGAUGUUGUCCUAUAUAUCUGUGAUAGAGACUGGCCUAAGUGCUGCCAAAUGAUUCAUAGUUGUGUAAUAGCAAUAAUG
RNAcentral lists this long non-coding RNA (723 nucleotides) under Salmo salar (Atlantic salmon). Its description in RNAcentral is "lncRNA (ENSSSAG00000106084.1)". Lineage: Eukaryota; Metazoa; Chordata; Actinopteri; Salmoniformes; Salmonidae. The record is from RNAcentral.